Molecule: non-coding RNA, 3880 nt
Organism: Podarcis lilfordi (Lilford's wall lizard)
Lineage: Eukaryota; Metazoa; Chordata; Lepidosauria; Squamata; Lacertidae
Source: the annotation of a GenBank genome assembly
ACACACAUGUUCACCAUCCCUACCCCUGGCAUUAAAUUUUCAAACUGCAGGCUACGGGGCCGUUCCUAAUUACCUCCUAUCCCCUAGUGGUCUAUGAAUAAUGACUACUGAAGGAGCUCAAAGAGGUUGCUAAGAAGAGAGAGAGGGGGGAAAACAAAAAAAUAAAAACAACAAAAAAGAAUUGUGCUAUAUACCUAUUUUUCUCCCCACGUUUUUCCCCCCCCUCCUAAAGGAUCUAAAUCUGUGACCACUCUGCUCUGGGAGGACGGCAAGGGAAAAGAGCGAGGGAGCGCCAAAGAGGAGACGGAAGAGGAGAAGAGGAGAGCUUGCAGGUAGGGCGAAAGGAGAUCUUUCUUUGGGGUGCUUUGAUGUCUCUUUGGUGGGGGGCUGUGCGCUGGUCGCUCAUUCAUCAGCUCCCUUCGCCUUCUUUCCCACCCAGCCCCUGUCCCCUGCCCUCCCUCUCCCCUUGGUUUUAUGUUUCUUGCUUACGCCAUUUGUGCUUUGGGGAGAUGGGGGGGGGGGAGCGCUUCAGAGACAGCCGCGUUGGUCUUUCGGCUUUGGCAGAGUUGGUGAGUGUACAUUGUCUCCCCUCCAAGUGGAUUGUUUGAAAAGGGCUUCUGGAUUUUCCUUGCAGAAUUCCGAGCAAGCUGCAUUCCUUCCUUCCUUCUUUCCUUUCGUGUGUUCGUUUGUUCUUUCUAAAUCUGGUUGGACGCACAAGUGCAGGCGUGAAAAAGAAGUUUGGUUUUGGGGAGGGAUGUUUCUUUUCUUAUGCGGGGUGGGGGUGAUGUUUGGUGUCUCUGGAGAGUGGCUUAAAAAAAAAAGGAAGUUCAAAGAAUGCUAAAUUGGUGGAGAGGCUGAGAUUGAAGGUUAUUUUGGAUGAUGCCUUCGUAAGGUCUCAGUAAAGUUGUCGGAUGGAGACCCAGCAUCCCAUUAUCUCUCACCAGUGUUUCCAUGCGUGGCUUUGAUCGAUGUGUUUCCCCAUUGGUUCCUUUUCCCAGAGAAUCAGUCUCUCCUCUGAGCUAGGAAGACCAUAAAUUGUAGCUAGCAUUUGUACUGUACAGCUGUGAUGGUUCAUUUGGAAAUCCCCCUAGGGCGGGGGGGGGGGGCAUGCUGGGAGAGAGAGAGAGAGAGAGAGAGAGAGAGAGAGAGAGAGAGAGAUUUUCUCGAGGUCUCCCUGGGGUUCUCUUUUUCCCAUGACAAAUGUCUUGCCCCCUCCCGACACAAACCGCCCACUGACACGAUUAUUAUUUUUUAAUAAAUAAAUGGGCUCUCCAGAGCCUCAAGGAAGCGUCGCCAGCCUACAAAAGAGCCUCCGUGAUCUUCCUUCCUUUUUUCUUUUUCUGCUGCUGUUGCUGUUGCAGAAAAGGAAAAGGAAGAAACUGGAAAUGUAUGCAGGGUGUUGAAGUAUUGUUGCAGGAGGAGAGCUGGGAAUCGGCUAGAGCCAAACUGCCAGCCAGCCAGCCAGCCUAUGACAUAGCAGCAGGAUGCCGUCCACCCUCUGCCAUUGAAGAGCUACUCAGAGCAGGCAAUUGUGUGCGUUUGGCGCAGGUGUGGUGGCCGAGAUCCACAAAAAGCCUCCACUCCAGAGCAACCCUAUUAAAACCAACAAAGCGAGGCGACCCGGAUGGGAGCAGAUAGGUUUGUUGCACCUGUGUCACUGUGUGCGGAUGGGUGCAUCAGUGCGCUUGGAAUUCACCGUGCAAAUAUUGAACCUUUUUAAAAAAACAAAACAAAGCACAAAUGUAAAUCCCAUCUAUGGAAAGGCGCAGAAAACGCACCGUUCAGGGAGGCAGCACGGCUAAGGUGCGGGACGAAACUUUGUGGCAUGCACAAAUCGUCACAAUGGUGGGUUUGUGACAAAGGAGGCAGGUGGGCAGGUUUCAAAAUGAGGAGAGGAAGGCAAAGCUGCAGUGUUUGGCGUAGUGGACAGACUGCUGUUUGUAGGCCAGCUGUGUGCAGUUAGGUGGGGGAAAGAGGCUCUUUGCUCCAGGUUUAGCCCAGCAGCAGCCUCUUUUUAAUAGCAGUCAGACAGAUGCCUCCAGGAAGCCCACAAGGCAGGCAUCGCACAAGUGGCCUUUCUUGGUUGUUUUGACCUCAGCCCCUGGGGUUCAGAGAUAGACUGCCUCUGAACAUGGCAGUUCUAUCUCUUGCUAUCAAGGUUAAUAGCUGCCUCCUGCUAUUGUGUUUCAGAUUGCAUGUGGUUAUUCUUCAGGGAGCAUAUAAUUUCUGAGUGCUGCAAGGCAUGGAAAAAGUAAAGUCCACAAACGCUCUGAAAGCACACUGUUUGUUUUCGGUUUGUUUGAGGGGUGGGUUUGUUUUCGUCUUUUGCAAUUUAAUCGUGGAUAUACUGGCCUUUGGACCUUAAAUUGAACCUACCCUUUUCUCAUACACUUAAAUCCAAAACAGCCUCUGACUUUAGACCUAGGGCCGAAAAGAUGCAAAUCUCUUGCUAAAUCCCUGCCAAGCCACAAAACAGGAUGUCACAGUUUUAAUAUUACGCAGUUAGAUAGGUUUAAAAAUCUUGCUGAUAUCUCUUACUUCAGGGAGCUCAUGGGUAAUGUACGUGCAUACUGGGUCAGUCCAUGUUCAGCUUCACAACGACCCUGUCAGGUAGGUUAGGCUGAAAGAGCAAGAAACAGACAGGCCCAAGGCUACCCAAUGGAGUUUCAUGGAGUGAGGAUCUGAACCCAAGGAGCGCAGUUCAGUUUGCUAUGGCUGCUACAAUGGCUUUGGCAAAAAAGAAAACCUUUUUGUAGCCCUACCUGGAGCAGCUAGAGGAUCGAACCUGUGACCUUCUGCAUGCAAGAAACAUGCUCCACCACUGAGCUACAGCCCUUCCCUGACGUAUUGUAACUGCAUAUGUUGAUGGUGUUCGUCGUCCAUAGCUCUGGGAGGCUGUUGAGCAUCACAGGCUCCAGAUUCCACCCUUGUAGCAUAAGCCCCAGUUCCAUAUUGUUUGCCCUAAACUGGAAUCAUCAAAUGCACCUCCCAUGUUACUGUUUCCUCAAACUGCCCUGAACGUGGGGUCCAUUUGACCCCCAAUACCUGAUGAGCAAAAACCUACUCAGGGAGGGUUCCCCGCCAACCCGCUCUCCCUGUUUAUUUAUUUUAAUGACGUUGUUUGUUGUUGUUUCGUAGGGAGUAGAAGUCCAGAACGGCAGGGGAGGCGGGGAGAGGACUGUGGGGGCGGAGAGUCGAUUUAAAUUGGGCUUAAUGGAUUCCCAAGGCAGCUUUUCGAGAUGAAAGUCAAAAUAAGACUGAAUCUCAGCAGACCCGUCUCUUGCAUUAAAGAUACUGCUCUCCUCAUCUUAGCUCCUCUUCCCUCCCCCUUCCUCCUUUUCUUCUUUUUAAAGGGGGAAGAGGGAGGGGGGAGAUUUCUGUGUUAUGUGCACAGACGACAGAGUGGAGUUUUCUAGUCUUAUAAUGAGGACCCUAAUUGAAGAGCGUAACCCUCGUGGGAUCUGCAUUCACUGACGGCUGUGUCUCUCACUCCUACUGGACUGUGGCUUUCUGUCUGGGGCGGAGCAGGCCGGUGGUCAGUGUGCAAGACUCAAAAGGUACGGGGGUUUAAACAGUGCUAUCUCUAUUAUUGUUAUUUAACGUACUUCUAUCCCGGCUCUCUCCCAAAUUGGGAUUUUAAGGCAGCUGGUUUAAAAUUUAAAAAUGCAAUCUAACGAAAACAAGCUAGUGAACAAACCAUAAUUCAAAGGCACCAGAGCACAUUUGAAACCCAGUUUGCCCUGACAGGGGGACAGCGACUCUGCACCUUAGUUUCCAAAGGCAUCUCUGAACGGGAGAGUCCUAGCUAGCUGGCGGAAGGAUCGCGGAGAGGGAACCGGUCUAGCCUCUCUUGGGAGGGAAUCCCACCAUCUGGGGGUAG